RNAcentral lists this ribosomal RNA (268 nucleotides) under uncultured Planctomycetota bacterium. RNAcentral describes it as "uncultured planctomycete partial 16S ribosomal RNA". It matches the Rfam family "Bacterial small subunit ribosomal RNA", at positions 565 to 828 of the family's 1533-position model. The record is from RNAcentral. Lineage: Bacteria; Pseudomonadati; Planctomycetota.
AUUGAGCACGUAGGUGGGUUUGUAAGUCAGAUGUGAAAGCCUUCUGUUCAACGGAAGAAUCGCAUCUGAAACUGCGAGUCUUGAGUGUAGGAGGGGAGAAUGGAACUUCUGGUGGAGCGGUGAAAUGCGUAGAUAUCAGAAGGAACGCCGGCGGCGAAAGCGAUUCUCUGGCCUAUUACUGACACUCAGUGUGCGAAAGCUAGGGGAGCAAACGGGAUUAGAUACCCCGGUAGUCCUAGCCGUAAACGAUGGGCACUAAGUAGAGGGG